CCUACGGGAGGCAGCAGUGGGGAAUAUUGCACAAUGGGGGAAACCCUGAUGCAGCGACGCCGCGUGAGUGAAGAAGUAUUUCGGUACGUAAAGCUCUAUCAGCAGGGAAGAAAAUGACGGUACCUGACUAAGAAGCCCCGACUAACUACGUGCCAGCAGCCGCGGUAAUACGUAGGGGGCAAGCGUUAUCCGGAUUUACUGGGUGUAAAGGGAGCGUAGACGGCAGCGCAAGUCUGGAGUGAAAUCCCAUGGCUUAACCAUGGAACUGCUUUGGAAACUGUGCAGCUAGAGUGCAGGAGAGGUAAGCGGAAUUCCUAGUGUAGCGGUGAAAUGCGUAGAUAUUAGGAGGAACACCAGUGGCGAAGGCGGCUUACUGGACUGUAACUGACGUUGAGGCUCGAAAGCGUGGGGAGCAAACAGGAUUAGAUACCCCAGUAGUC
RNAcentral lists this ribosomal RNA (440 nucleotides) under uncultured bacterium. Its description in RNAcentral is "partial 16S ribosomal RNA". It matches the Rfam family "Bacterial small subunit ribosomal RNA", at positions 338 to 795 of the family's 1533-position model. The record is from RNAcentral.